Molecule: unclassified non-coding RNA, 200 nt
Filed under: soil metagenome
Description: partial internal transcribed spacer 2
Source: RNAcentral
UUAAGUUCAGCGGGUAAUCUUGCUUGAUCCGAGGUCGACCUUAGUAUAAAUUUGGUGCACAAGGCAAAGUCUUUUAUCGUUCGAGCUUUCAGACACAUUUUGCUGUGCUUGGCUAAACUUCAGACGCCAAUUAGUUUGAAGCCGUCGAUCUCACAAAAGUUAAAAUCGACGGCUCAUCGCAAGGCAAAGCCUUAUGGUCA